Dreissena polymorpha is the source of this 5012-nucleotide long non-coding RNA. RefSeq lists it as uncharacterized. The record is from RefSeq and is a predicted model, not a curated record. Lineage: Eukaryota; Metazoa; Mollusca; Bivalvia; Myida; Dreissenidae. The transcript has 3 exons.
UCAAGAAGAUGAACAUUGUUGAGAAAGUGAUUGGGACUUGCAAACAGGGUAAGUGUAACACUUGUGUUUGUUUAAUUUGUAACAUGCGUGCUUUGCUCUGUUUCAGAUUUCACAUGCAGAAAUUAAACAGGAUUUCAACUGCUGAGACACAAUUCAUCAAAAGUAAGGUACGUUUUAAUUCAUUGAUUUGAGUUGUACAAUGUGUUCUUUACUUUAUUUCAGAUUCGAGUCACUGGUUUACACAUGGAAGAAGAUUUCCACGUCUGUUACUCAACUCUACAGAAGCAAGGUAAGUCGAUCAAAUUUUUGUUUUCAUUGACUGCUGUAAUGUGAUGUUAUGCUAUUUUUCAUGUGUGCUAUGCAGAGAUGGAGAAUUCAAUUUUAAGAAAGAUUAACUGCUGCAGCUUAGCUCUGCUCUGUGUUGAUUUUUGUUCAAAAACGUUUAAAAUGUAUGUGUGUUUUCAGAUGUUUUGUUUCAGUUGAUGUCCAGAUGGCAAGCAGUACAGACGUGUUUCUUGGAGCUGCCAAACAGUGAGUACAAACGUUUUAUAUUUUUCAGUUGUUUACUCAUAGAAGUCUGUGAAGGAUGAUAACAAGGGUUGAAUCUAUCAGCACUUGUGUCUAAAAAUGCUGAUGUGUGACGGUUUACUGAAAAGGGUAAAUGCUAGCCAGUACUUACACUUGAGCAACCGUGGGAUGUCGAACUAACUGAUGAUGUACUAUGAUGGUGAACACUUACUAUGUGUAUCGAAAUGCUUUUGUUGAUAUUUUCUAUAGAUGAUUUGAUAUUGGUUAACAUUUGUUUGCAUGCUGUUAACAUUUCUAUUUCAUUUCAGUGAGCUGUGGUGAGUAUUGUAGUAUACAUUUGUUUCAAUAAAUCAUGGUGAUUCUUUUUUACAGUUUUAGGGAUUAUCACUCUAUAACAACUCUGUCGGUUGGUGUUCAUGAGUCUGAGCCUAAUACCGCAAUGUUUGAGUAGUACAAAAAUGUUUUCGCUUUUGUGGUCGCCAGCUGUCCGUGAUCUGUAAAGUGAAAAAUACACAGAGCUAUGAAGCAUACAAAUGUUUCGAAAUUUUAUCAAUGAUUGUAUACUAUGCAUGUUUUGAUUUAGUUCAUUUCAGAUAUGAGAUGACAUGAAGAGUUGACAGUCGAACAGAGCUGAGCAACGCAGAAAGGUAAGUGUGUUUCAUUUUAGUAUGAACACUUGUAUUUUGUUUUUAUAUGGUAUGUUUUGUGCAUGCUAUGUUUCAGGUGUACUUGUAGUCAGCGACGAAGACGAUUCAAGAAGAGGAACAUUGCUGAGAAAGUGAAUGGGACUUGCAAACAGGGUAAGUGUUACAAUUGUUUGUUUGAUUUUUACCAUGCAUACUUUGCUUUGCUCUGUUUCAGAUUUCACAUGCAGAAAUGGUCUCAUAGCAGUGCCAACAGUGAAUAAGGAUGUCAGCUGCUGUGAAACAACUCAACAGAAAGUAGGUAAGCAUUGAAUGAAUGCACUUGAGUUGUACAAUUUGAUGUGAUGCUUUUAUCUGUUUCAGAUUCAAGUUUCUGGUGUAGACAGAAAAAUGUGUUUGAAAAAGGAAUUCUACUACUGUGAUUCAACUCUACAGAAGCAAGGUAAGUAGAAACAAAAUUUUGGUUUAAUUUAACUCAUGUGUUUUGCACUGCAUGCUAUUUUUCAGGUCUCUCAUGCAGUGAGGGAAAAGAAGAUUUCAAGAAAAAAUCACUGCUGCAACUCAGGCCUAUAACAAGGUAAGCGUUUACUAUAUUGUAUACAAAAUGUUUCUCUGUUUUACUCUGUUUCAGGUUUCAAUUGCAGAGAUGUUGCAGAGAUGUUUUGACAGCUUGUGACAGAAAAGAAAUUCAGCAGCUGUGUAUCGACUGUAGCCACGAGGUAAGUCGAAACAAAUAUACUGGUUUGUAUGUUAUGUUGUUAUGCCCUUCUAUGUUUCAGACUUACAUUGCUGUGACUGUUCCACAGUGGGUCAAAAAAGAGACGAAUACAGGUUUCAAGAAGAAAAUUGGCUGUUGAAAACCUGCACAAAAUAUGAGGUAAGUAAACUAUUCUUUUGGUUUGUUUUGUGCUUUGUUAUGCUUAACUAUUUUUCAGAUUGGAAUGGUGGGUCGUUACAGAGCAGACUUUUGGACAACUGAGAAGUUGAGAAACAGAAAAUGAUUCAAGAUCAGCUACGUAAGUCUUGAUUAUUAUGCAUUGCUAAAUGUUUUUUUCAUUUCAGUAUCCUGUGGUAAGUACACUAACUUUCUAUAAUUUCAUAUUGAAAUGUUUUGAUGACUUGUAUACUACUAUGCAAUGCUUAAUGUUUUUUUUCAUUUCAGUAGCCUAUUGGUAAGUACACUAACUUUCUAUAAUUUCAUAGUGAACUGUUUUGAUGACCUGUAUUCUGCAUUGUAAAAUGUGUUUCUUUUUCAUUUCAGUAUGGCUGUGGUAAGUACACUAACUUUCUAUAAUUUCAUAUUGAACUGUUUUGAUGACUUGUAUUCUGCAUUGUAAAAUGUCUGUUUUUCAUUUCAGUAUCCUGUGGUAAGUACACUAACUUUCUAUAAUUUCAUAUUGAAAUGUUUUGAUGACUUGUAUACUACUAUGCAAUGCUUAAUGUUUUUUUUCAUUUCAGUAGCCUGUUGGUAAGUACACUAACUUUCUAUAAUUUCAUAGUGAACUGUUUUGAUUACCUGUAUUCUGCAUUGUAAAAUGUGUUUCUUUUUCAUUUCAGUAUGGCUGUGGUAAGUACACAAACUUUCUAUAAUUUCAUAUUGAACUGUUUUGAUGACUUGUAUUCUACUAUGCAAUGCUUAAUGUAUUUUUUCAGUAGCCUGUUGGUAAGUACAAUUGCCUUCUUUAAUUUUCAUAUUGAACUGUUUUGAUGAUGUGUAUACUGCUAUGCAAUGCUUAAUGUUUUUUUCAUUUCAGUAUGGCUGUGGUAAGUACACAAACUUUCUAUAAUUUCAUAUUGAACUGUUUUGAUGACUUGUAUACUGCUAUGCAAAAUGUCUGUUUUUCAUUUCAGUAGCCUGUGGUAAGUACACUAACUUUCUAUAAAUUCAUAUUGAACUGUUUUGAUGAUUUGUAUACUGCUAUGCAUUGCUAAAUGUUUUUUUCAUUUCAGUAUAGCUGUGGUAAGUACACUAACUUUCUUUAAUUUUCAUAUUGAACUGUUUUGAUGACUUGUAUUCUGCUAUACAAAAUGUGCUUUUUUCAAUUUCAGGUCAGCAAUGGUAAGUAUAGUGUGUUUCUUUAUGUAUAAUUUUGUAUACAUAUUGUUUUUUUUCAUCAUAUCAUGUCUUUCAUAUUUAUGCUUUGUGUAAGUAAAAUGUUCAUAAAUCAUUCUUAUCUUCAAACUAAAAAUGUAUUGUGCUAUGCAAAAUGUCUGUAUGAUUUCAGUUGCCAGAGGUGAGUACCAUAACAGUUGAAAAGUUAGUUUUGUUUAGUUCAAGUUUUGGUUCACAGUUCUGUUUGUUAUUUGGCAAAAUUUACAUGUAUGCAUUGAGUCUUGAUUUCAGCUCGAUUGUGGACUGAAGAAGAUUGCCCGCAGAGGGAUUGGAUACAAAAUACAAAGUAAGUACUGAGUUUCUUACUAAAAGUUUUGAGUUGUAUUCAUUGUGUGUUAAUAUGCUAUGAUUGCUAUGAACAUGACUUUUGUAUUUCAGCGAAGACAACAUAGGUAAGUAAAAUUGUUAUCUGUUUCAUGUUUACUGUUACAGUUCAAUAUUGUGUUUAUAAAUUGUAAGUUGUACAAACACAUUCAAAAGUUUCUAAUCAUGCUUUCGAUUUCAUUUCAGCUUUACUGCUAGACGAGUGUUCUCUACUACUUGACGAGUCAGCUUUACUACCAGGCGAGCAGUGACAACAAGGCGCCUUUGUGGAAACAACACAACAAAAAACUCUACUGCAAGACGAACAGUGACAGCAAGGCGCCUGAACAUGCAACACAAAACAAAAAAUGCCAAUAUCCAAACCUUGAUGUGGACACCGAGUAGUCAAUACAUACGUGUGGCGUAUAGCUGCGACAAAACCGUGGGUCCAUCGCACCGAUAACUUGAACAUUGGCCCGUGUAUGGACAUCAGUGCAACUUUGUGAAUCCAUGUAACUUUGUGAAUCCAUGUAACAUUGCGAAUAUGUGUCGAUCAAAAAAUGUGAACAUUAUGCAAUGAAACGAACUCGGUGUUGCAAGUGGCAAGUGUUGACAGUGUGUAUGUUUAUGUUUAUGUUUUUACAUGAAAAAUAAAGGAGAUUGUUCUCCUACCUUUUUUUUCCUUGUUUUAUUGUGCUGGCCAGCAAUAUUGAUGUAUUGAUGUAUUGAUGUAUGUGUUUGUGUAUUAACGAUGUAUUAACUAUGCAUUACCAAAAUCAAACAAAACUUUGGCACAAGAGACUCUAAGUAUCAAAUACCAACAAUUUAAGCGCAGACAAUCACAUGGUGGUACACCAGUCCGAAUAUACUCAUUGCUCUAGCCAGGAUUGCAAAUUACUUGUGUUGACUAGCAAGGCUCCCUAGUAACGGAGCAGUGUUACUGGCGUUUUUUGGGUCGAUAGUGCUUAGGUGAGGUUUUGCUCGAAUCGGGAGCGGGUCACUCGCUUGGGCGAGUUAGUUUUCGCUCGUAGUUUCCAAUCUGGCUAGAUCAAUGUAAGGUUGUUUUGACUGCUAUUUGGCAAGCAGAAAGACAACAGCGGUUAAUUGACUGAGUAUGGGCGACCGAGGUAUGUAGGUGUCAAUAGACCGACUCCACAAGUUGCGAAGCGAACCGAUAGCACUUGAGGGGAAACGCCUCGGUUUUCGGUUCUAACAUGUGUUAUCCAUGCUGUCGUUAUACUCUGGCAAGGCUCCUCAAUCUAUCGCGAGGGACACUCAUUAUUGCCCGCAAGCUUUAGAACCUGACGUGGGUCGAUGCGUAUGCGAGUCCGAGGACGCGAUGGCAUUUGAUAAGGCUACCAACCGGUUGAUAACACGCAUUGUUCAAAUUGUUAGGUUUAAGUCUGCUAGGGCUGGGGUGGGAA